This 459-nucleotide ribosomal RNA is filed under the name uncultured bacterium. Its description in RNAcentral is "partial 16S ribosomal RNA". It matches the Rfam family "Bacterial small subunit ribosomal RNA", at positions 338 to 795 of the family's 1533-position model. The record is from RNAcentral.
CCUACGGGCGGCAGCAGUGAGGAAUAUUGGUCAAUGGGCGGAAGCCUGAACCAGCCAAGUCGCGUGAAGGAUGACGGUCCUACGCGUUGUAAACUUCUUUUGUCAAGGGACAAAAUCAGGCUCGCGAGCCUGUCCGAGGGUACUUUAAGAAAAAGCAUCGGCUAACUCCGUGCCAGCAGCCGCGGUAAUACGGAGGAUGCGAGCGUUAUCCGGGUUUAUUGGGUUUAAAGGGUUCGUAGGCGGAGUGUUAAGUCAGCGGUAAAAACCCGGGGCGCAACCCCGGCGAGGCUUUGAAAAUGGCGGUCUUGAGAGGGCGAGAGGUAUGCGGAAUGCGCGGUGUAGCGGUGAAAUGCUUAGAUAUCGCGCAGAACUCCGAUUGCGAAGGCAGCAUACCGGCGGCGAUCUGACGCUGAGGCACGAAAGCGUGGGUAUCGAACAGGAUUAGAUACCCUUGUAGUC